GGUACAUGAUACCUCGGGGCAUUCCUCGGUGAAUAAAUAUAUACAGAUACUUCGGGGCAUUCCCCGACCAAAUUAUACAAUUGAAUUAAAUACGAUAAACUAGAAAGAAACAUUCACAUGCACAUUCCAACAUCCAACCAAAACAUCAAUCUUAAAUUCUUGCCUACCCGAACCUAUAUUGCCUAUCCAUUUCAUUAUGGCAUAAAUCUAUCACAUUCACUUGUACCGAAUGGAACAAAAGACAACAAACCAACAUCAAUCUAC
Molecule: long non-coding RNA, 264 nt
Filed under: Capsicum annuum
Lineage: Eukaryota; Viridiplantae; Streptophyta; Magnoliopsida; Solanales; Solanaceae
Description: long non-coding RNA (CANN_LNC021192)
Source: RNAcentral